GGAGUGGGUUAGGCGAUCGCUGUGGGUGUGAUUCGUAAGAAUUUCACCCGUGGAGGAAAGACCGGGCUCCGUAGGAUACGGUGGUGGGUAACGCCCACCGUCCGCGAGGAUCGGGAAAGUGCAACAGAGAGCAAACCGCCGAUGGCUUUGGCUUUGGUCAAAGCACAGGUAAGGGUGAAACGGUGCGGUAAGAGCGCACCAGCAGAGCGGGUGACCGUUUUGGCUUGGUAAACCCCACCGGGAGCAAGAUCAAGCAGAGAGAAGAUGGUUUCCAUCACGGUUUUUUCCGAACCGUCCGACUCUCGGGUAGAUUGCGACGAGGCGUUGAGUAAUUAACGCCCCAGAGAAAUGAUCGUCCACGACAAAACCCGGCUUAUCGACCCACUCCUCCU
This 392-nucleotide RNase P RNA is filed under the name Planctomycetaceae bacterium. RNAcentral's name for it is "RNase P RNA component class A". It matches the Rfam family "Bacterial RNase P class A". Rfam says of the family: Ribonuclease P (RNase P) is a ubiquitous endoribonuclease, found in archaea, bacteria and eukarya as well as chloroplasts and mitochondria. Its best characterised activity is the generation of mature 5'-ends of tRNAs by cleaving the 5'-leader elements of precursor-tRNAs. Cellular RNase Ps are ribonucleoproteins. The record is from RNAcentral. Lineage: Bacteria; Pseudomonadati; Planctomycetota; Planctomycetia; Planctomycetales; Planctomycetaceae.